Molecule: ribosomal RNA, 1401 nt
Filed under: uncultured bacterium
Lineage: Bacteria
Description: 16S ribosomal RNA
Rfam family: Bacterial small subunit ribosomal RNA
Source: RNAcentral
AGAGUUUGAUCCUGGCUCAGGAUGAACGCUAGCGACAGGCUUAACACAUGCAAGUCGAGGGGCAGCGGGGGCGUAGCAAUAUGCCUGCCGGCGACCGGCGCACGGGUGAGUAACACGUAUGUAACCUGCCCUAUGCAGGGGGAUAACCCGGAGAAAUCCGGCCUAAUACCGCGUAACACCUUAGGGGAGCAUUCUCUUGAGGUUAAAGGAGAGAUCCGGCAUAGGAUGGACAUGCGUCGCAUUAGGUAGACGGCGGGGUAACGGCCCACCGUGCCGACGAUGCGUAGGGGUUCUGAGAGGAAGGCCCCCCACACUGGUACUGAGACACGGACCAGACUCCUACGGGAGGCAGCAGUGAGGAAUAUUGGUCAAUGGCCGAAAGGCUGAACCAGCCAAGUCGCGUGAGGGAAGAAUGUCCUAAGGAUUGUAAACCUCUUUUGUCGGGGAGCAAAAAGGCUCUGCGGAGUCGUAUUGAGAGUACCCGAAGAAAAAGCAUCGGCUAACUCCGUGACAGCAGCCGCGGUAAUACGGAGGAUGCGAGCGUUAUCCGGAUUUAUUGGGUUUAAAGGGUGCGCAGGCGGCGUGUCAAGCAAGCGGUAAAAUAGCGGGGCUCAACCCCGUCGAGCCGUUUGAACUGGCGCGCUUGAGUUCAGGCGAGGUAGGCGGAAUUCGUGGUGUAGCGGUGAAAUGCAUAGAUAUCACGAAGAACUCCGAUUGCGAAGGCAGCUUACCAGUCUGCGACUGACGCUCAGGCACGAAAGUGUGGGUAUCGAACAGGAUUAGAUACCCUGGUAGUCCACACAGUAAACGAUGAGCGCUAGGUGUCCGGGUCGCAUGAGACUUGGGUGCCCGAGCGAAAGCGUUAAGCGCUCCACCUGGGGAGUACGCCGGCAACGGUGAAACUCAAAGGAAUUGACGGGGGCCCGCACAAGCGGAGGAACAUGUGGUUUAAUUCGAUGAUACGCGAGGAACCUUACCCGGGCUCAAACGACUCAGGAAUAUAUUGGAAACGAUGUAGCCAGCAAUGGUCUGAGUCGAGGUGCUGCAUGGUUGUCGUCAGCUCGUGCCGUGAGGUGUCGGCUUAAGUGCCAUAACGAGCGCAACCCCUACCGCCAGUUGCCAACGGGUAAAGCCGGGAACUCUGGCGGGACUGCCGGCGCAAGCUGUGAGGAAGGCGGGGAUGACGUCAAAUCAGCACGGCCCUUACGUCCGGGGCGACACACGUGUUACAAUGGCAGGUACAGCGGGAAGCCACCUGGUGACAGGGAGCGGAACCCGAAAGCCUGUCUCAGUUCGGAUUGGAGUCUGCAACUCGACUCCAUGAAGCUGGAUUCGCUAGUAAUCGCGCAUCAGCCAUGGCGCGGUGAAUACGUUCCCGGGCCUUGCACACACCGCCCGUCA